Molecule: ribosomal RNA, 95 nt
Filed under: uncultured eukaryote
Lineage: Eukaryota
Description: partial small subunit ribosomal RNA
Source: RNAcentral
UCGCUCCUACCGAUUGAGUGAUCCGGUGAACUUUCUGGACUAUUGGCCCGCGCUUUAUAGGAAGUUAAGCAAACCUUAUCACUUAGAGGAAGGAG